Molecule: transfer RNA, 71 nt
Filed under: Stegodyphus mimosarum
Lineage: Eukaryota; Metazoa; Arthropoda; Arachnida; Araneae; Eresidae
Rfam family: tRNA
About the family: Transfer RNA (tRNA) molecules are approximately 80 nucleotides in length. Their secondary structure includes four short double-helical elements and three loops (D, anti-codon, and T loops). Further hydrogen bonds mediate the characteristic L-shaped molecular structure. tRNAs have two regions of fundamental functional importance: the anti-codon, which is responsible for specific mRNA codon recognition, and the 3' end, to which the tRNAs corresponding amino acid is attached (by aminoacyl-tRNA synthetases). tRNAs cope with the degeneracy of the genetic code in two manners: having more than one tRNA (with a specific anti-codon) for a particular amino acid; and 'wobble' base-pairing, i.e. permitting non-standard base-pairing at the 3rd anti-codon position.
Source: Rfam by way of RNAcentral
GCCGUGGCUUAGUUGGUCAAAGCGCCUCUCUUGUAAACAGGAAAUCGUGAGUUCGAAUUUCGCCGAAGGUA